GACGAACGCUGCGGCGUGCCUAAUACAUGCAAGUCGAGCGGACCGAACAGGAGCUUGCUCUUGUUCGGUUAGCGGCGGACGGGUGAGUAACACGUGGGUAACCUGCCCGUAAGACCGGGAUAACUCCGGGAAACCGGAGCUAAUACCGGAUAACACCGAAGACCGCAUGGUCUUUGGUUGAAAGGCGGCUUCGGCUGCCACUUACGGAUGGGCCCGCGGCGCAUUAGCUAGUUGGUGAGGUAACGGCUCACCAAGGCGACGAUGCGUAGCCGGCCUGAGAGGGUGACCGGCCACACUGGGACUGAGACACGGCCCAGACUCCUACGGGAGGCAGCAGUAGGGAAUCUUCCGCAAUGGACGAAAGUCUGACGGAGCGACGCCGCGUGAGCGAAGAAGGUCUUCGGAUCGUAAAGCUCUGUUGUUAGGGAAGAAGAAGCGUCGUUCGAACAGGGCGGCGCGGUGACGGUACCUAACGAGAAAGCCCCGGCUAACUACGUG
This 498-nucleotide ribosomal RNA is filed under the name uncultured bacterium. RNAcentral's name for it is "partial 16S ribosomal RNA". It matches the Rfam family "Bacterial small subunit ribosomal RNA", at positions 28 to 507 of the family's 1533-position model. The record is from RNAcentral.